Molecule: ribosomal RNA, 500 nt
Filed under: uncultured bacterium
Lineage: Bacteria
Description: bacterial SSU rRNA
Rfam family: Bacterial small subunit ribosomal RNA
Source: RNAcentral
ACCGGCAGACGGGAGAGUAACACGUGGGAAGAGCCCUUCAGUUCGGAACAACCCAGGGAAACUUGGGCUAAUACCGGAUACGUCCGUAAGGAGAAAGAUUUAUCGCUGAAGGAUCGGCCCGCGUCUGAUUAGCUAGUUUGUGGGGUAAUGGCCCACCAAGGCGACGAUCAGUAGCUGGUCUGAGAGGAUGAUCAGCCUCACUGGGACUGAGACACGGCCCAGACUCCUACGGGAGGCAGCAGUGGGGAAUAUUGGACAAUGGGCGCAAGCCUGAUCCAGCCAUGCCGCGUGGGUGAUGAAGGCCCUAGGGUUGUAAAGCCCUUUCGGCGGGGAAGAUAAUGACGGUACCCGCAGAAGAAGCCCCGGCUAACUUCGUGCCAGCAGCCGCGGUAGUACGAAGGGGGCUAGCGUUGCUCGGAAUCACUGGGCGUAAAGCGCACGUAGGCGGCUUUUUAAGUCAGGGGUGAAAUCCUGGAGCUCAACUCCAGAACUGCCUUUGA